RNAcentral lists this ribosomal RNA (231 nucleotides) under uncultured bacterium. Its description in RNAcentral is "partial 16S ribosomal RNA". It matches the Rfam family "Bacterial small subunit ribosomal RNA", at positions 118 to 350 of the family's 1533-position model. The record is from RNAcentral.
UGGGCAACCUGCCCUCAGCUCUGGGAUAACCCCGGGAAACCGGGGCUAAUACCGGAUACGACCUCCGCGGGCAUCUGCGGAGGUGGAAAGGUUUUCCGGCUGAGGAUGGGCCCGCGGCCUAUCAGCUAGUUGGUGAGGUAAUGGCUCACCAAGGCGACGACGGGUAGCCGGCCUGAGAAGGUGACCGGCCACACUGGGACUGAGACACGGCCCAGACUCCUACGGGAGGCA